AUUAAACGCUGGCGGCAGGCUUAACACAUGCAAGUCGAGCGGGGGAAGGUAGCUUGCUACCUGACCUAGCGGCGGACGGGUGAGUAAUGCUUAGGAAUCUGCCUAUUAGUGGGGGACAACAUUUCGAAAGGGAUGCUAAUACCGCAUACGCCCUACGAGGGAAAGCAGGGGAUCACUUGUGACCUUGCGCUAAAUGAUGAGCCUAAGUCGGAUUAGCUAGUUGGUGGGGUAAAGGGCUACCAAGGCGACGAUCUGUAGCGGGUCUGAGAGGAUGAUCCGGCACACUGGGACUGAGACACGGCCCAGACUCCGACGGGAGGCGGCAGUGGGGAAUAUUGGACAAUGGGGGGAACCCUGAUCCAGCCAUGCCGCGUGUGUGAAGAAGGCCUUUUGGUUGUAAAGCACUUUAAGCGAGGAGGAGGCUCCUGUAGAUAAUACCUACAGUGAGUGGACGUUACUCGCAGAAUAAGCACCGGCUAACUCUGUGCCAGCCGCCGCCGUAA
RNAcentral lists this ribosomal RNA (503 nucleotides) under uncultured bacterium. RNAcentral describes it as "partial 16S ribosomal RNA". It matches the Rfam family "Bacterial small subunit ribosomal RNA", at positions 30 to 523 of the family's 1533-position model. The record is from RNAcentral.